This 465-nucleotide ribosomal RNA is filed under the name Vreelandella stevensii. RNAcentral describes it as "partial 16S ribosomal RNA". It matches the Rfam family "Bacterial small subunit ribosomal RNA", at positions 338 to 795 of the family's 1533-position model. Lineage: Bacteria; Pseudomonadati; Pseudomonadota; Gammaproteobacteria; Oceanospirillales; Halomonadaceae. The record is from RNAcentral.
CCUACGGGAGGCAGCAGUGGGGAAUAUUGGACAAUGGGGGCAACCCUGAUCCAGCCAUGCCGCGUGUGUGAAGAAGGCCCUCGGGUUGUAAAGCACUUUCAGUGAGGAAGAACGCCUGGUGGUUAAUACCCAUCAGGAAAGACAUCACUCACAGAAGAAGCACCGGCUAACUCCGUGCCAGCAGCCGCGGUAAUACGGAGGGUGCGAGCGUUAAUCGGAAUUACUGGGCGUAAAGCGCGCGUAGGUGGCUUGAUAAGCCGGUUGUGAAAGCCCCGGGCUCAACCUGGGAACGGCAUCCGGAACUGUCAAGCUAGAGUGCAGGAGAGGAAGGUAGAAUUCCCGGUGUAGCGGUGAAAUGCGUAGAGAUCGGGAGGGAUACCAGUGGCGAAGGCGGCCUUCUGGACUGACACUGACACUGAGGUGCGAAAGCGUGGGUAGCAAACAGGAUUAGAUACCCGUGUAGUC